GACGAACGCUGGCGGCGUGCUUAACACAUGCAAGUCGAACGAUGAAGCCAGCUUGCUGGUGGAUUAGUGGCGCACGGGUGCGUAACACGUGGGUGAUCUGCCCCAAACUUUGGGAUAAGCCUGGGAAACUGGGUCUAAUACCGAAUAUGACCGAUACUCGCAUGGGUGUUGGUGGAAAGCUCCGGCGGUUUGGGAUGGGCCCGCGGCCUAUCAGCUUGUUGGUGGGGUAAUGGCCUACCAAGGCGACGACGGGUAGCCGGCCUGAGAGGGCGACCGGCCACACUGGGACUGAGACACGGCCCAGACUCCUAUGGGAGGCAGCAGUGGGGAAUAUUGCACAAUGGGCGCAAGCCUGAUGCAGCGACGCCGCGUGAGGGAUGACGGCCUUCGGGUUGUAAACCUCUUUCACCAGGGACGAAGCGAAAGUGACGGUACCUGGAGAAGAAGCACCGGCCAACUACGUG
Molecule: ribosomal RNA, 464 nt
Filed under: uncultured bacterium
Lineage: Bacteria
Description: partial 16S ribosomal RNA
Rfam family: Bacterial small subunit ribosomal RNA
Source: RNAcentral